AUAUCAAUAAGCGGAGGAAAAGAAACCAACAGGGAUUGCCCUAGUAACGGCGAGUGAAGCGGCAACAGCUCAAAUUUGAAAUCUGGUUCCUUUGGGGCCCGAGUUGUAAUUUGCAGAGGGUGCUUUGGCGUCGGCAGCGGUCUAAGUUCCUUGGAACAGGACAUCACAGAGGGUGAGAAUCCCGUACGUGGUCGCCUGCCUUCGCCGUGUAAAGCCCCUUCGACGAGUCGAGUUGUUUGGGAAUGCAGCUCUAAAUGGGAGGUAAAUUUCUUCUAAAGCUAAAUACCGGCCAGAGACCGAUAGCGCACAAGUAGAGUGAUCGAAAGAUGAAAAGCACUUUGGAAAGAGAGUUCAAACAGUGA
RNAcentral lists this ribosomal RNA (362 nucleotides) under uncultured fungus. RNAcentral's name for it is "eukaryotic LSU rRNA". It matches the Rfam family "Eukaryotic large subunit ribosomal RNA", at positions 40 to 402 of the family's 3401-position model. The record is from RNAcentral. Lineage: Eukaryota; Fungi.